This 2194-nucleotide long non-coding RNA is filed under the name Zea mays. Its description in RNAcentral is "long non-coding RNA (ZMAY_LNC000892)". The record is from RNAcentral. Lineage: Eukaryota; Viridiplantae; Streptophyta; Magnoliopsida; Poales; Poaceae.
UCUCCCAUCUUCUUCCUCCUCAAACCUUUGCAGCCCUCACCACCCAAAACCCUAGCCGCCCCCCCCAUUUCUCUCCCUCCUCCAAGGUGCAGCCCUCCCGUGUGGUUCUCCGUCGUGUGGCUGCGAUCUCAAUUGGAGUUUGGAGGGAGGAAGAAGGAAGGAGGAAGGGAAGAACCUAAGGUGAAUUUGUGAUUAACUUUUGUUGUUUUUGUGCUGCAAUCAAUUGGAUUAUGUGUUUAUCUUUGCGAAUCGGUAGAGGUGCUGUCCAGGAAUUUUGUGAGUGGGUGAACAGCAGUAGUUCUAGGGAUUUCUGGGAAUUUUCGUGGGGUAAUUAGUGGGAAUCAGUGGGAUAAUCAUGUAGAGCUUUGUCAUACCUUUCCAACGAGUACUUAUGCGCUCGAUUCGGAGUUAUAAUUUAGGAGAUAUCGUUGUUUGAAUCCGGGUAUGUUGCUGUCCAAAAAAACAGAUUUUUCAGGUGGGUGAACAGCAGUAGUAUUAGCAGUUUCUGAGAAUUUUUCGUGGGUAAUUAGUAUUAACCAGUAUUAUAAUCAUGUAGGGCUUUAUCUUAUCUUUCCAAUGAGUACUUAUGUGCUUGAUUUGGAAUUAUAUUUUAAAAGAUAUCGCUGUUUGAAUCCGGGUAUGUUGCUGUAAAAAAAACAGAUUUUUCAGGUGGGUGAACAGCAGUAGUAUUAGCAAUUUCUGGGAAUUUUUCGUGGUUAAUUAGUGCUAACCAGUAUGAUAAUCAUGUAUGGCUUUGUCUUAUCUUUCCAAUGAGUACUUAUGCGCUUGAAUUGGAAUUAUAUUUUAAAAGAUAUCGCUGUUUGAAUCCGGGUAUGUCACUGUCCAAAAGAGAAAAAAACAGAUUACAGGGUUCAUCUUGUGAACUAUUUUGGGCUAAUUAGAUGUUGGAAUUUAAUUAUAAAUUGUAUACAAAACUUGUGGGGAAUUUUAUGUAGAUGCCUCUGGAGUUUUUGUUUGUUACCAAUGCUGUCAUAAUUUUGAAGUUAUGAAAUUAUUAAGCAGCGUCGCUGCAGUUUGGUGGGUGUGGGGAGAGAUGUAACCCGCGGCGGGGUUUGAGUUUGUGCGUAGGUGCGGCAUCGUUUAUGAGCCUGGUUAUGUGAAAUUGGUGCACUAAGUUGUGUGUCAAAAACAGGUGGUGGACUUCCGGAUCGUACUUAGGGAUUUGCCCAAACUUCCGGUAAAGGCAAGUAAAUAAAGUGGUGGUUGCUACCGUUUGGUUUGCAUCCUAUUCCCUGUCAUUGAGUAUGCAUAAGUUUUUAAUUAUGUUAAUCAUUGAAUUCUAUGAUGAAGUUUAUUUGUUUGGAAGUAUUAAUUCUCAAUUGUCUAAUAUUGUGGAUGAUCAUAAUUUGGUUAUGAUAUAUGUGGUUGAUUCCCAUCUUGGAUGAAGUUGAAGUAUCUUUUUGAAUCACGUUAUAUGAAGUGUUGUAGGCAUGACAUGCACAUCACAUCAUCCAUCUUGCAUUUUGAAGUUAUGUCGUGAUCUUAUGGUCCGACCGUACCGGUACAUUUUUAGCAUCGUACGUUGCCCGAGGAGGGGUACGAUGCGGCUUCAUAUCCUUAGAGGUAUGAAGGCAGAAGUCAUCCUUGCAUUUGCAGACAUUUGCAUUCAUGAGGAAUAUAUGAAGUGUGACAUUACUAUGUUACUAUUGUGGUUUCUACCUGCGAGGUGUGGUAACUAGGUGUGUUGUACGUUGUAUACGUGCUGCACCUUGGUAAUAAGAAGGUUGUGGAAUCAGGUGAUGGUAAAACAAUGUUCUUAUGUGGUUGAAUAGUUUUAUAUUAUUUUACUUGCUGAGAUGUGUCAUCUCACUCUUGCAUUACUCAAUGCAGGUACUUGAUGCAUGUUGGGAAUGAGGGGAGUAGCAGCACGUCCACUUACACUCUCACAAUAACGCUGCCCAGGCGUAGCCAUGAUUUAAUUAGAAACUUAUUGUCAAGGAAGUUUGUUUUUUUUAUAGUCGUGUGCACUGGUUAAUUCAGUUCAGGUCGUACGUUUAUCUUCCCUUGCUAGCCGAUUAAUAAUACUUAGUAUGUUUUUGUCAUGAUAUAUGUUUAUACCCUGUUGCCCCCUUAUUUAUGCAAAUCUUGCCAAGGGGAUGCUGCCGAAAUUUUAUAUAUGGACGUCAGAAGUGUAGUUCAGUAGCAUUCUAGGUUGUUUGUGGAACCUGGGGUG